UAUCUCUGUAGAGUCUGCAUAUCAAUAAGCGGAGGAAAAGAAACUAACAAGGAUUCCCUUAGUAACGGCGAGUGAAGCGGGAAGAGCUCAAAUUUGAAAUCUUCAAGGUUUUACCUUGACGAAUUGUAGUUUAAAGAAGUGUUUUCUGUUGAAGUUUCGGUAAAAGUUCUUUGGAAUAGGACAUCAUAGAGGGUGAGAAUCCCGUAUUUGACCGUUAUUUUCAGCUGUGUGAUACACUUUCAAAGAGUCGGAUUGUUUGGGAAUGCAGUCCAAAAUGGGUGGUAAAUUUCAUCUAAAGCUAAAUAUUGGCGAGAGACCGAUAGCGAACAAGUACCGUGAGGGAAAGAUGAAAAGAACUUUGAAAAGAGAGUUAAACAGUACGUGAAAUUGUCAAAAGGGAAGCGUUUGACACCAGUGUUGUUUUCUCGAAAAUCAAUUAAAAAUGGCUUGAUUUUGUGUUGUAUUGACCUUAAAAGCUUUCUGCACUUUUUUCAUGUCUUUUUUAAUGCACUUUUCGUUUAACAAGUCAACAUCAGUUUCUUUUGUUGUAAAAGAGUCAUUGGAAGGUGGCUUUCACUUCGGUGAAAGUGUUUAUAGCCUUUGACUUCUGCAAUCGGAGAGAUUGAGGUCUGCAGCGCAGAUCCUUCGGGGUUAGAUACAUUUGUGCUAAGUUAUAGUUUUUCAUAGACAACAUGUUGACUAUGAUUAAUCAUGUAGCUUACUCGCUUAUGCUAUUUUACCUACGCUUAGGAUGUUGAACGCGCACAGAGUCUC
RNAcentral lists this ribosomal RNA (774 nucleotides) under uncultured Neocallimastigales. RNAcentral describes it as "partial large subunit ribosomal RNA". It matches the Rfam family "Eukaryotic large subunit ribosomal RNA", at positions 24 to 611 of the family's 3401-position model. Lineage: Eukaryota; Fungi; Neocallimastigomycota; Neocallimastigomycetes; Neocallimastigales. The record is from RNAcentral.